Molecule: long non-coding RNA, 2752 nt
Filed under: Marmota monax (woodchuck)
Lineage: Eukaryota; Metazoa; Chordata; Mammalia; Rodentia; Sciuridae
Source: RNAcentral
CGGUCCUGCUCCGCCGGGAGCGACUGGAGCACAGCGAGCCCAGCGGCCCCGCAGCCCCCGCAGCCUGGGUGCCAUGGAAACGCGCUCGCCGCCCUCCAGCCCCGGCCCCUCCGGAGCGCUUAAAGAGACAGCCCUGCUGCCACCGCGGGCUCGACGCGUUGUUGGGCGUCCCCCACCCCCUAGCGCCCUCCUCACCCCCUCCUCUCCAAGCCAGCGCUGCGGGGACUAGAAGCGGCGGGGGCUGGGCAGUGGGGGCAGUGGAAGAAGCAGCUGGGACGCAAAAUCAGGGGUUUCGCUGAAUACUCAGCCUGACUCUACUCCCAACCUCUUCCGAUCCACCCUCUAAGCACACACACCCCAAAGCCCGCUAAAGACGCUAAGCUGCUCCGGUUUUCAGCCUCACACACCAACCUGCUCAGAACCAACCAGCUGUGCAUCUGCUACAGGCAGAGACCAAAAGAAGGCUGACUUUUGAUUCACUCUCCUUCAGCUCACUCCCUACCUCGAGUCUGGGGAGUGGGUCCGAACACCAGACAGGGGGAGGUGUGUUUGAAGUGAAAACCAAAUGGUAGUUGAUUGAGUCAAAUCUCUUGCCAAAUCGACAGUUGCAGGACACAUCUUCAGCUCAUCCAGAAAUCCUAGUUACUCAAAAUGAGAUAAUCUCCCUUCAUUUUAUUUGGCCACCGUCUCACCCAAUUUAGGCACCAGAGUUAUAGGAAGGAGCCAACCGUUCUAUAAAACUACUCCAUCCUUCCCUGCAAACCAACUCCCUUUUCCCUAAAAAUAUACGGAGAAGCCGUCAGUUGCGAGCCCCCACGGCCCUUCCAGAAGGGAACAGCGUCUGCUCUGAACGGGAAUCUUGGGUUGCGGUGCUGGCUAGCGCUGCCCGGGACGCACAGCCAAGAGUAGCGCGGUCGCCAGCAGCUCCGGCCUGAGGCAGUGCCUGUGCUCGGCGCCAGCUGCUGUCUGGAAGGCCGCAAACCUCUGGAGUCUGUUUCGUGAAAAUAAAAAUCUAUGGUGCAUUGUGCCCUCCAACAAGGACAGCCCAAGCUCUGGAGCCAACGUCUGCAGUUUAACCCUGCAGAAAAUGGAACCGUCUGCAGUGAAACAACUUUUUUCCUUUAUUACUAAACUUACCAAAAGUGUCUAUCCAAGGACUCAUUCAUAAUCAGACACUAAAAGCAAUACACCUGAUUUCCACAGUCCUAGGACCCCUAAAAUGAUUUUUCUCAGAAGGUGUUUUUGGACUCCCUCUUGCCCUUCAUAGUUGAAUUAACCAUCUGGCUUUUAAUUUCAGUCUUCUAAGCCUUUGUUCCCUUUUUUUUCUCUUUCUGUGACUAAAGAAGCAAUUGGGCAUUUACAGGAGGGACGGAGGAGCACACUUUUGGGGGGUUUCUGAAAAGGAAUAAAAAGAUGAGAGUGGGAGAGAACCACACUCCUGAAUUUUUUAGCAUUCUGUGACUUUGCUCUCCUUGUUUAUUUAAGUUUGAAAUUCAUGCUAACUUGCAAUGUUUUCUAUUCCUCUUAGACUUGUCUGUAUAAUUUUAACUUUUUAAAAUCAAGUUUACAGUGAAAAAUUCUGUAAAAACACAACUAGAUGAUAUCUUUAUCUUUUGGCAAGUAUCUUGAACACAGAAUUUUAGAGCUGUUUACACAAUAGAAAUCAUUAUCUGACCCCUGUGUUUCAUGAAAGAGGAAUUCAUUCUUACUUCCCUUUCUAAACACCAGUUAUACAUGAACCAGGCCUUCUCCAAACCCAAGAGAUAGUGGACUUGGUACUGACACCAGCUGUGGAGAUGCAUUUUCCUGUGGCUAACUCUAAAUUAGUUCUGCUAACAAUAGGCCCAGCACAGGUUAGUAAAAUACACUGGUAAUUUUAAAAUUUAUUUUUAACUGUUAAUUCUAAAUUCUCCUCAACAGAAUUGAUUACUUAAUUUCACCUCCUCUUCUUUUUCCUCUCCCUCUUCUAGGGAAGCACUAUUGAACAGUAAAAUGACCAAAGGCAGGUGGGGUACUAUAAGGAUGAAUUAAGAAACUGGAUAAGCCAUAAUGAUUACAGCUUCUGAACUAGUGUAAUGAUUGUAUAGUGUAUGUGUACAGGUACAAAGAUUAACCCUCUCCAUGGAUUCAGUUUUCUAGUUUGUCCUUUGGAUGAAACUUAAAGGUUCCAGUUUGUUUCAAUACUGUUUGAUCUUAAUUGUUUUGAUGAAAAUUUAUAGUGUACCUAAAGAUGAUGAUAUAGAUUAACUGUUCCCUGAAAUUUCCUGUGACUUGCUAAGCCUUUCUUUGCUUCUGGACUAGUUUUAACUCUGCAGGAGUCUAUCUUCAACUAAUCUCAUUCCCUUUGGGUAUGUAAAAAGUUUCUAUACAAUUUUCUUUAUAUUAAAGAAAGACAAAUUUAGUAUAAAGUCAUGGCUGAAAAGAGCUAUUUUAAGAGCUAAAUAAUACAAAAAUAUAUGUGAAUUAUUUGAUUGCAUGGUUGUUUAGUAAAGGACAGUUUAGGUACAUGGAAAGUAAAUCACAAAUUAGAAAAAUUUCCUUCCAUGAUUUUGAAGGCACUUUAUUGUAGAUGAACAUUUAAAAUAGUAUGGAUGUGACAGGCUAAAUAUUAGUGUACAUUUCAUAAAGUAAUGUCGAUUUUAUAUUAUUCUAGUACGGCUUAUAACAUAAAAACAAUGCCAUGUAAGCAAUUAUCCUUAAAUGAAAAAGCAAAUGCAUUAAAGUUUUUACCAUAAACUGACAUGAAUCCAGC